GGACUGGGAAACAGUGGAUAGAGCCAUACAAGGGUGUUGUGAGGUCCAGGUUGAUGAACUCUUCUGAGAAAUAGCAACCAUAAAUGAAGAGCAAAGUACUUGAUUACUUUUAUUGCUGAUCAUUUUCUGGAAACAGAAGAACUCUCCCUGCUGCUGCUAAUGGAACCAGUCCUUUGAUACCUUUUUCCUGCUAGUUAUGUUUUACCUCGACUGACUGCUUCGAAGCACCUUCGUGCCUGGCUGAGAGGGGUACCACUUUGGGACAGAAGCAGGAGCUAAAUUUUGCUGUGAGAUGCUCUGGCCCAGCACCUCAGGGUUCUGCCUGGCCUUUGCUCACACAUCCAGCCUCCAUCAGCUGCAAGUCAGAGAAGUC
Long non-coding RNA from Numida meleagris (helmeted guineafowl), 373 nucleotides. RefSeq lists it as uncharacterized. The record is from RefSeq and is a predicted model, not a curated record. The transcript has 4 exons. NCBI's taxonomy places the organism in Eukaryota, Metazoa, Chordata, Aves, Galliformes, Numididae.